GACGAACGCUGGCGGCGUGCUUAACACAUGCAAGUCGAACGGAAAGGCCCUGCUUUUGUGGGGUGCUCGAGUGGCGAACGGGUGAGUAACACGUGAGUAACCUGCCCUUGACUUUGGGAUAACUUCAGGAAACUGGGGCUAAUACCGGAUAGGAGAUCCUGCUGCAUGGUGGGGGUUGGAAAGUUUCGGCGGUUGGGGAUGGACUCGCGGCUUAUCAGCUUGUUGGUGGGGUAGUGGCUUACCAAGGCUUUGACGGGUAGCCGGCCUGAGAGGGUGACCGGCCACAUUGGGACUGAGGUACGGCCCAGAGUCCUACGGGAGGCAGCAGUGGAGGAUAUUGCACGAUGGGCGGAAGCCUGAUGCAGCAACGCCGCGUGCGGGAUGACGGCCGUCGGGUUGUAAACCGCUUUCGCCUGUGACGAAGCGUGAGUGACGGUAAUGGGUAAAGAAGCAACGGCUAACUACGUG
RNAcentral lists this ribosomal RNA (468 nucleotides) under uncultured bacterium. RNAcentral describes it as "partial 16S ribosomal RNA". It matches the Rfam family "Bacterial small subunit ribosomal RNA", at positions 28 to 507 of the family's 1533-position model. The record is from RNAcentral.